GGAAACUGCCUGAUGGAGGGGGAUAACUACUGGAAACGGUAGCUAAUACCGCAUAACGUCGCAAGACCAAAGAGGGGGACCUUCGGGCCUCUUGCCAUCGGAUGUGCCCAGAUGGGAUUAGCUAGUAGGUGGGGUAACGGCUCACCUAGGCGACGAUCCCUAGCUGGUCUGAGAGGAUGACCAGCCACACUGGAACUGAGACACGGUCCAGACUCCUACGGGAGGCAGCAGUGGGGAAUAUUGCACAAUGGGCGCAAGCCUGAUGCAGCCAUGCCGCGUGUAUGAAGAAGGCCUUCGGGUUGUAAAGUACUUUCAGCGGGGAGGAA
This 326-nucleotide ribosomal RNA is filed under the name Escherichia coli. RNAcentral's name for it is "bacterial SSU rRNA". It matches the Rfam family "Bacterial small subunit ribosomal RNA", at positions 121 to 449 of the family's 1533-position model. The record is from RNAcentral. Lineage: Bacteria; Pseudomonadati; Pseudomonadota; Gammaproteobacteria; Enterobacterales; Enterobacteriaceae.